Molecule: ribosomal RNA, 477 nt
Filed under: uncultured bacterium
Lineage: Bacteria
Description: bacterial SSU rRNA
Rfam family: Bacterial small subunit ribosomal RNA
Source: RNAcentral
AGAGUUUGAUCCUGGCUCAGAUUGAACGCUGGCGGCAUGCCUUACACAUGCAAGUCGAACGGUAGCGGGCCUUCGGGUGCCGACGAGUGGCGAACGGGUGAGUAAUGUAUCGGAACGUACCUUUCAGUGGGGGAUAACGUAGCGAAAGUUACGCUAAUACCGCAUAUUCUGUGAGCAGGAAAGCAGGGGAUCGCAAGACCUUGCGCUGAUUGAGCGGCCGAUAUCAGAUUAGCUAGUUGGUGAGGUAAAGGCUCACCAAGGCGACGAUCUGUAGCGGGUCUGAGAGGAUGAUCCGCCACACUGGAACUGAGACACGGUCCAGACUCCUACGGGAGGCAGCAGUGGGGAAUUUUGGACAAUGGGGGCAACCCUGAUCCAGCCAUGCCGCGUGAGUGAAGAAGGCCUUCGGGUUGUAAAGCUCUUUCGGCCGGGAAGAAAUCGCAUGGGUUAAUACCCUGUGCGGAUGACGGUACCGGC